Long non-coding RNA from Columba livia (rock pigeon), 1057 nucleotides. RefSeq lists it as uncharacterized. NCBI's taxonomy places the organism in Eukaryota, Metazoa, Chordata, Aves, Columbiformes, Columbidae. The record is from RefSeq and is a predicted model, not a curated record. The transcript is spliced from 3 exons.
CGGAGGAACCGCGGCCGCUCGCAGCCCACCUUCCCCUCCUCCCCGCCGCGGGGCGAGGCCGCCGGCCGACACUUCAGCACCACGUCGGCCCUGAACAGCAGCGGGAGCGGCGGCGCCGGGGGCCUUCCCCCCCGCCGCUCGCCUUCCCGCCCUCGCGGUCCCCUCAGGUUGCAGGGAAGAUGUUAUGAUUCCCUUCACCCUUCAGCAGGCAAUUUUUGAACUACAGAAAAUGCAGAAAUGCUGACGAGGAAUCGCUCCAGCAGCCGGGACCAGCUCCUCUGCCCAACACGCUUCAUCCCUUAAAAGCUGGAUACUCUCCCCAUUACUGCUGGCAGGAGCUGGUGGCUGAUGCCACGUCGCCAGGUGAUGCUGAGCUGGGUGAGCAGCAGGACAGACGUCCCACACAGGAGAUGUCGGCCUGACCGACGGCCGCUGGCGAUGCUCGGGGUGGUGAGCAGCGCGGGAGCUGCUGCCAGCACCGGGCGGCGGUUUUGAGUCGCAGCACCGUGGGUUUUCUCCGUUUAUUUUUCCCCUCACACAGGACUAGGCAGUCAUGUCAGGUCAAACAUUUCAUCAAUUCUUGUUUUGUUCGUUAUAUUUUUUAGAAAAUAAAAAAAAAAAAAAAUCAUUUUUUCUUCCCAAGUCAGACUCUUUCACACCGGUUGUCUCAGAAGCAUUUGACACUUUUUCUGUGCUGACAUUUCCUCACCAAAUGUACCCCAGUGUAAUUCAAAGAAGUAAUUUAGACUCCAAAAUGAAACAUUUCACCUGGUUCAGCUGCCCUUUUCUCCUACCAAGCCCAGCUGAACUUUUUCUAUCUCCAUUUCACCCAAAAGAAACUCCUUUCCUGAUGUUUUUUCUUGGCUCAUGGUCUGGAGAAACCUGUUCUGGUUGCUGCCUCCCCAUCAGCUCCCCGGUGCAUAUAUUUAAGGUGCAAAUGUAACACAUAAGCAGCCAAGUAAUCACACAGAUAGAAUAAAAAUAUGUAUUUCGGGUGCUCACUGGGACUUUCUGAAUGUUUGAGACCUCUCGGUAGUUUCAAUCAGCCACCAUUAGA